UGGAGUUCCUGCAGUGUAGGACAUGUUGAAAGCUAUUCAUAACCACACAAUUCAGGAUAGUUCCAGGGCUAUAGAUUUUAUACUGUAUCUAACUUGCUAUCAUUAAAUUACAGAGAACCAGCAAGAAGGGGGAAAUUCUGGACCAAGAGUCCAGCAACAGUCGGAUAUCACUGUUCCAGCUAGAGGUGAUCCAGAUGAGCCAAGACGUAAUGAUAUGUAUGUAACAGCUAAUGUGUCUCUCUAAAUUCUGAUUUUUUCCAAGCUUUUGGGUUAUGUUUGAUUACCAUGUGAAUUUCAGUCAUAAAAUCUAUUUGCAUUUCUUGAAUAGAACUUCUUUUUUUAAAACCCAACAAAACCGAACACAAGGUUUUCUUCUAUUGUUCAUCAACUCAGGAUCUAAUAUAUUUUACAGUAUGGCUUGAUGUAUGUCGAAAUGCUUGUAAUACCUGAAGGACACACCCAAAAUAUCUGAAAACCUGCUUCUUAUCAUGACAGAUUUGAUAAGGAAAGAGUUCGUGGAAUGAACGGCUUCCAAAGGACAGCUAGAUGCUUUUGUCACAAACCCCUUAUUUCUGACCUGUUGAAGAUUAAUGCUGUCAUACCUGUGCUGCGCUGUGCUACAGACUGCUGUUACUUGUAACAGUAGAGCAGGGGGACUGACUACAUCAUCCCCCGUAAUGAGAAGCAAGACCCUGUUUCCUUUAGGGAAGGGUCAUCCUAACUGCUUAUUACAUGCAACAAAUGAAGAGAGUGAAAGGUACACAGGGACCUUCAGAUGAAAUGCAUCAUGGCCAAUCUGUGCAGUUGGGGGAUGAUAUGACAUUAUAGGAACCAGUUACCCUCAAUGCACAGUGACAUUAAUGGAUGUGUGUUCUUUCUGCUUUUGUUCUCUUUACCACAAGGCCACCUGGUACCAUUAGAUGUCUGAUCUACAUGGAUUUCUACUUGGCGAUUGUGCAAAAUGGAUGACAUCUUGUGGCAACCAUAUGCGGCCACGUCUUCUGCAACCAGUGUCUUUAUUAUUCCCUUAUGAAUGCCAACACUUGCCCAACCUGCAAGACAGAGCUUGGUGAUGGAGACUAUCAUCACCUAUAUAUAUGAGUUUAUAUAUGUUUUAUUGUUCCAAAUAAAAAUAGUUGUGUUUUUGCAAA
Molecule: long non-coding RNA, 1151 nt
Organism: Pezoporus occidentalis (night parrot)
Lineage: Eukaryota; Metazoa; Chordata; Aves; Psittaciformes; Psittacidae
Exons: 2
Source: RefSeq, a predicted model, not a curated record